Molecule: long non-coding RNA, 358 nt
Organism: Lontra canadensis (Northern American river otter)
Lineage: Eukaryota; Metazoa; Chordata; Mammalia; Carnivora; Mustelidae
Exons: 3
Source: RefSeq, a predicted model, not a curated record
AGUCAGGUGAGAAGAGUCCUUUGGCGGUGGCAUCAUAGUCAGGUUCAUAGGCACUAGAACAGGGUCCUCAUCAGGAUUCCUGCCCAUAGGGUAUUUUCUUGGCCAGGCUGCACCUUCUCUCUCCCUGCAUCCUUGUAGCUGCUGUGUCAGUGGAUAGAAAGUUCUUAUGCAUCCCACGUAGCUAGCCCAUUGGAGGGAUGGGUCACCGCAUGCCUCAGGGAGAAAGUUCUGAACACUACGAUUUCACCACGAGAAGCUGGGUGCUGGGUGGGGCUUGGUUCACACCUGUGGUUCCUAACCAGCAGAGCACUGGAAUCGCCUGAGGGGAACUUAGUCCUCGGCGGAUGCUUAGCCUCCA